This 220-nucleotide long non-coding RNA is filed under the name Lathyrus oleraceus (garden pea). RNAcentral's name for it is "Pisum sativum (pea) long non-coding RNA (PSAT_LNC006519)". Lineage: Eukaryota; Viridiplantae; Streptophyta; Magnoliopsida; Fabales; Fabaceae. The record is from RNAcentral.
UUUCGUUAACAUUUUGUUUUCAUAAAUAUCUUAAUCUUUUUCUUUUCAAAAUUCAGUUUAUUUUUUCAAUUAAGAUAAGAUCCUACCAUCUUAAUAAAAAAAUCUCUUAAUUCUCUAUGAUUUAUUUAUGCGCUAGGUUUUUGACUCGAUUACUAAAACAAUUCCAAUUUUUAGGUUUAAAUAGAAACCUUCCUCACUAUUUUUUUUUAUUAUACUUCAU